CCGCAACGAUGAAGAACGCAGCGAAAUGCGAUACGUAGUGUGAAUUGCAGAAUUCCGUGAACCAUCGAAUCUUUGAACGCAUAUUGCGCCCCACGGCCUCGGCCCAGGGCAUGUCUGCCUCAGCGUCUGUU
RNAcentral lists this ribosomal RNA (131 nucleotides) under Asterochloris sp. 103. Its description in RNAcentral is "5.8S ribosomal RNA". It matches the Rfam family "5.8S ribosomal RNA", at positions 28 to 154 of the family's 154-position model. From Rfam's summary of the family: 5.8S ribosomal RNA (5.8S rRNA) is a component of the large subunit of the eukaryotic ribosome. Lineage: Eukaryota; Viridiplantae; Chlorophyta; Trebouxiophyceae; Trebouxiales; Trebouxiaceae. The record is from RNAcentral.